CUCUCUCUCUCUCCCCAGAACCCUACCCAUACCGACGGCGACGACGAUCGAGCGACAAUCUACACUGAAAAAGCCAUCGCCGAUCGACGAUCCGCGUUUUUUUUGGGAUUUGUACGCCCUCAGCCAGCCCUUUUUUGAGAAUCUCAUAUUAAAACCCUAACCCAUUGGCACUCUUUGACCUGAAAGAGGAUCGACGAUCGUGUUUGUUGUAAGAGAAACCAAUGGAAGAGAAGAGAGGUUCUACAGUGUGAAGAAGCUUACACACAGGAAAAAUAAGUUAGUGGGAGUAUAUCGGAAUUGGACAAGUAUUUGGGUGAUAUUGAGAAAGGUGGGAAAAAUGCUGAAUUUGAUAUCUUUGAGUGGUGGAAGGUUAAUGCAACAAAGUAUAGAGUAUUAUCACUUAUAGCAAGAGAUGUGUUGGCAAUGCCUAUCUCCACUAUUGCUUCUGAGUCGGCUUUAGUACGGGAGGUCGUAUACUUGAUCCAUUCCGUAGUUCACUUGCUCCCAAGAUGGUGGAGGUUCUUGUUUGUACACAAAAUUGGCUUCGAAGUAACAUUCGAAUAUGCUUUCGACAAUCAAUGGAUAAUGUUGAAGAAUUUGAACAACAAUAUGAUUCGGUUGUUUCGGAAUCAAGUUCAUGUUCAAGUCCAAGCCCAAGUCCGGAGAGUACUUAUAUUGAAGUUUAAUAUCAUUGGUUUGGCUCAUGGUUCAUGGUUUGGCUCAAAGAAAUCAAUGGCUUUAUUGUUUUUUUUUUAAGUUGUUUUGAAAAUAUGACUAUUAGUUGGUACUUUCUUUAGAUGACCGUAAUACUUUAUUUUGGAUGAUUGGAUUAAGAAGUUUUAAAUUUUUUGGAUGAUUGUAAUAUUAUAUUUUGGAUGAUUGUAAUAUUUUAUUUUGGAUGGUUGUAUGUUAAA
Non-coding RNA from Camellia sinensis, 914 nucleotides. The record is from RefSeq and is a predicted model, not a curated record. NCBI's taxonomy places the organism in Eukaryota, Viridiplantae, Streptophyta, Magnoliopsida, Ericales, Theaceae.